UGGGGAAUAUUGCACAAUGGGCGAAAGCCUGAUGCAGCAACGCCGCGUGCGGGAAGAAGGCCCUAGGGUUGUAAACCGCUUUCAGCAGGGAAGAAAAUGACGGUACCUGCAGAAGAAGGUGCGGCCAACUACGUGCCAGCAGCCGCGGUGACACGUAGGCACCAAGCGUUGUCCGGAUUUAUUGGGCGUAAAGAGCUCGUAGGCGGUUCAGUAAGUCGGGUGUGAAAACUCUGGGCUCAACCCAGAGACGCCACCCGAUACUGCUGUGACUUGAGUACGGUAGGGGAGUGGGGAAUUCCUGGUGUAGCGGUGAAAUGCGCAGAUAUCAGGAGGAACACCAGUGGCGAAGGCGCCACUCUGGGCCGUAACUGACGCUGAGGAGCGAAAGCGUGGGGAGCAAACAGGAUUAGAUACCCCCGUAGUCCCUGAGCGGGCUGGCAAGGCGCAU
This 448-nucleotide ribosomal RNA is filed under the name uncultured bacterium. RNAcentral's name for it is "bacterial SSU rRNA". It matches the Rfam family "Bacterial small subunit ribosomal RNA", at positions 355 to 825 of the family's 1533-position model. The record is from RNAcentral.